CACAGACAACCAGGAUGUUGGCUUAGAAGCAGCCACUCAUUCAAAGAGUGCGUAAUAGCUCACUGGUCGAGUGAUCCUGCGCCGAAGAUUUCCGGGGCUAAAACUUACUACCGAAGCUACGGCAUCAGUAAUGAUGGGUAGGGGAGCUUCCCAUACGGGUUGAAGCAUGACCGUAAGGACAUGUGGACAGUAUGGGAGUGAGAAUGUUGGCAUGAGUAGCGAGAGGUGGGUGAGAAUCCCACAGGCCGUAAACCCAAGGUUUCCAGGGGAAGGUUCGUCCGCCCUGGGUUAGUCGGGACCUAAGCUGAGGCCGAAAGGCGUAGGUGAUGGACAACAGGUUGAUAUUCCUGUACUACCGAUAAC
RNAcentral lists this ribosomal RNA (363 nucleotides) under Clostridioides difficile. Its description in RNAcentral is "bacterial LSU rRNA". It matches the Rfam family "Bacterial large subunit ribosomal RNA", at positions 1084 to 1454 of the family's 2925-position model. Lineage: Bacteria; Bacillati; Bacillota; Clostridia; Peptostreptococcales; Peptostreptococcaceae. The record is from RNAcentral.